Molecule: transfer RNA, 73 nt
Filed under: Planctomycetaceae bacterium
Lineage: Bacteria; Pseudomonadati; Planctomycetota; Planctomycetia; Planctomycetales; Planctomycetaceae
Description: tRNA-Glu
Rfam family: tRNA
About the family: Transfer RNA (tRNA) molecules are approximately 80 nucleotides in length. Their secondary structure includes four short double-helical elements and three loops (D, anti-codon, and T loops).
Source: RNAcentral
GGCUCGUUCGUCUAGAGGCCUAGGAUCCCACCCUUUCACGGUGGUGACAUGGGUUCAAAUCCCAUACGAGUCA